Molecule: ribosomal RNA, 800 nt
Filed under: uncultured bacterium
Lineage: Bacteria
Description: bacterial SSU rRNA
Rfam family: Bacterial small subunit ribosomal RNA
Source: RNAcentral
AGAGUUUGAUCAUGGCUCAGGAUGAACGCUGGCGGCGUGCCUAACACAUGCAAGUCGAACGGACGAGAAGGGGCUUGCUCCUUUUCGUUAGUGGCGGACGGGUGAGUAACGCGUGGGUAACCUGCCGUAUACAGGGGGAUAACACUUAGAAAUAGGUGCUAAUACCGCAUAAGCGCACAGCGCCGCAUGGUGCAGUGUGAAAAGCCGAGACGGUAUACGAUGGACCCGCGUCUGAUUAGCCAGUUGGCGGGGUAACGGCCCACCAAAGCAGCGAUCAGUAGCCGGCCUGAGAGGGUGGACGGCCACAUUGGGACUGAGACACGGCCCAAACUCCUACGGGAGGCAGCAGUGGGGGAUAUUGCACAAUGGGGGGAACCCUGAUGCAGCGACGCCGCGUGAGUGAAGAAGUAUUUCGGUAUGUAAAGCUCUAUCAGCAGGGAAGAAGGAAGACGGUACCUGAAUAAGAAGCACCGGCUAAAUACGUGCCAGCAGCCGCGGUAAUACGUAUGGUGCAAGCGUUAUCCGGAUUUACUGGGUGUAAAGGGAGCGUAGACGGCAGAGCAAGUCUGAAGUGAAAGCCCGGGGCUCAACCGCGGGACUGCUUUGGAAACUGUUCAGCUGGAGUGCAGGAGAGGUAAGCGGAAUUCCUGGUGUAGCGGUGAAAUGCGUAGAUAUCAGGAGGAACACCGGCGGCGAAGGCGGCUUACUGGACUGUAACUGACGUUGAGGCUCGAAGGCGUGGGGAGCAAACAGGAUUAGAUACCCUGGUAGUCCACGCGGUAAACGAUGAUCACUAGGUG